UACUUUCGCGCCCGCUGUGGUGACCGGAAGAAGAAGCUGCUACUGAGGCAUUCUGGGAUACUGGCGGACCCAACAACACUUCUACUGUGAUGGCGACAAACAUCGAGCAGAUUUUCAGGGAUUUUGUAAUGAAUAAGAUUAAAGAAAUCGAAGAUGAAACUGAAGAAAACAGUGUGACAGAUGAGCCGCAGUCUGAACCUGUGACGGAGACGAGAGAAGAUGGACUUGAGGAAGAAAAAAUGAACACACCAACAGAUAAAGUCACGCGUACUGACCUCCAAGACAACCAUGAUAAAGAGGACACCAGCACUAAACACAGGAAGAGUAAAAAGCACAAAAAACACAAAAGCAAAAAGAAGAAAAAGAAGCGCAAAGAAGGAAAAGACAGCAGCUCAGGCACCGAGUCCGACAAAGAGACUCAAGAAAGUGGAAAGAAAAAGAAAAGAAAGAAAAAGAAAAAAAGCAAAGAUGCAGACAAAGUGAAAAGAUCUGGCUCUCGAUCCGAAAGCUCUUCAGCAUCUGGUUCUGAAUCGGAGUCCGAAACGAAACCUUCAAGUGAAAAUACAAAGUCCUCUUCAGCAGGUCAGACGUCAAAGUCCGAGCUCAAAGACUCAUGUGGUGUUGGUAAGCCUCGGGAGUUGCCUGACAUUAUUCCCAAGACGGAGAAUUCGGUCCACAAAAGCACAGAAAAUGAAAGGCCCAAGGAGAAGAAAAGAAGUUCUAGCAGGACAUCUAAAAGUAAGGAGAGCUCCAGAGGAAGACGAACCAGAUCGAGAUCCCCAAAACGACAACGGCGAUCAAAGUCAACCUCCCGCUCUAGAAAUAGCUCCAAAAAGAGGUCUCAUCAACGGAGAGAGAGAAGUAGAUCGAGGUCUAAGAUACGCAACAGUCGGUCCAGGUCUCGUUCUGUCAGAAGAGGCAAGCGUUCAAGAUCCAGGCGAACUAGAUCAAGGUCUGUUGUAAUCUUAAAGAGGAACAGAAGGUCUACAUCAAAAUCUAGGUCUCGCUCGCCAAGGCGUAGAUGCCGUUCUAGGAGUAAGUCUCGAAGCAGAACGCAACCUUCGAAGUCGAGGUCCGUUUCGAAGUCAAGGUCUGAGUUGAAACCGGAAACUGAAUCGGAUCCAGUGGACAAAAGUGAAAGUUCUGAAAUGCAAACAAAUGUGUCUCAAGACACAACUGAGAAUAGAAAAAGUCCAACAGUGGCUGUGAGCUCUGACACCAAGCCGUCUGAAACGGCAUCCAACAUCUCGAAUCCUGGUUUCAACGCAGUUGGUGUUAAAGGAUCUUGGCGACCAGUUCCCUUCUUGGCAGAGCCGUCCAAGUCUUCCCAAAAGUGCAUUACACCCGAGGUGCCUUUGGAAGUGACCGAUGUAUCUGAAGAACCUUCAACGUUCUCAACCGCUGCGCCAAAAGAUUCACAGUGUGCUGCCAACCCUGAGACGAAAGAAACCAAUCCAACUUUAACUUCAGCCGAGACGAACUCGGCCUCGCCAUCCAAAUCUCCCAGUCACAAAAUAUCCUCAAGAUCCAAAGCGGCUGCGCGAUCCGGAUCAAAGUCGCCAUCGAAAAAGAGAAAAUCCAGGUCGUCUUCACGGAAGUCUCGAUCGCCCUCUGAAAGGAAAUCGCACAAGUCUAGAACGAGGAGCAAACGCUCGAAAUCGAGGUCGCCUAAGAAGAAAAGGUCGAGAUCUCGUUCGCACGGCCGUCGGAGGAAAUCUCGAACUCCGGACAGAAGCAGACAGUCGAAGUCGAGAAAAGAGAAAAUCCAGGUCGUCUUCACGGAAGUCUCGAUCGCCCUCUGA
This 1802-nucleotide long non-coding RNA is filed under the name Sinocyclocheilus anshuiensis. RNAcentral's name for it is "lncRNA (ENSSANG00000041255.1)". The record is from RNAcentral. Lineage: Eukaryota; Metazoa; Chordata; Actinopteri; Cypriniformes; Cyprinidae.